RNAcentral lists this transfer RNA (75 nucleotides) under candidate division WWE3 bacterium. RNAcentral describes it as "tRNA-Glu". It matches the Rfam family "tRNA". Rfam says of the family: Transfer RNA (tRNA) molecules are approximately 80 nucleotides in length. Lineage: Bacteria; candidate division WWE3. The record is from RNAcentral.
GGCCCCAUCGUCUAACGGCUAGGACGCCAGGUUUUCAUCCUGGUAAUAGGGGUUCGAUUCCCCUUGGGGUCACCA